Molecule: ribosomal RNA, 465 nt
Filed under: Vreelandella stevensii
Lineage: Bacteria; Pseudomonadati; Pseudomonadota; Gammaproteobacteria; Oceanospirillales; Halomonadaceae
Description: partial 16S ribosomal RNA
Rfam family: Bacterial small subunit ribosomal RNA
Source: RNAcentral
CCUACGGGGGGCUGCAGUGGGGAAUAUUGGACAAUGGGGGCAACCCUGAUCCAGCCAUGCCGCGUGUGUGAAGAAGGCCCUCGGGUUGUAAAGCACUUUCAGUGAGGAAGAACGCCUGGUGGUUAAUACCCAUCAGGAAAGGCAUCACUCACAGAAGAAGCACCGGCUAACUCCGUGCCAGCAGCCGCGGUAAUACGGAGGGUGCGAGCGUUAAUCGGAAUUACUGGGCGUAAAGCGCGCGUAGGUGGCUUGAUAAGCCGGUUGUGAAAGCCCCGGGCUCAACCUGGGAACGGCAUCCGGAACUGUCAAGCUAGAGUGCAGGAGAGGAAGGUAGAAUUCCCGGUGUAGCGGUGAAAUGCGUAGAGAUCGGGAGGAAUACCAGUGGCGAAGGCGGCCUUCUGGACUGACACUGACACUGAGGUGCGAAAGCGUGGGUAGCAAACAGGAUUAGAUACCCCGGUAGUC